Molecule: ribosomal RNA, 252 nt
Filed under: uncultured bacterium
Lineage: Bacteria
Description: partial 16S ribosomal RNA
Rfam family: Bacterial small subunit ribosomal RNA
Source: RNAcentral
UACGGGGGGGGUAAGCGUUGUUCGGAAUUACUGGGCGUAAAGGGCUCGUAGGCGGCCAACUAAGUCAGACGUGAAAUCCCUCAGCUUAACUGGGGAACUGCGUCUGAUACUGGAUGGCUUGGAUUCGGGAGAGGAAUGCGGAAUUCCAGGUGUAGCGGUGAAAUGCGUAGAUAUCUGGAGGAACACCGUGGCGAAGGCGGCUCUCUGGGACGUGACUGACGCUGAGACGCGAAAGCGUGGGGAGCGAACAGG